RNAcentral lists this transfer RNA (87 nucleotides) under Clostridia bacterium. Its description in RNAcentral is "tRNA-Leu". It matches the Rfam family "tRNA". Rfam says of the family: Transfer RNA (tRNA) molecules are approximately 80 nucleotides in length. RNAcentral also lists the same sequence under 6 other names. Lineage: Bacteria; Bacillati; Bacillota; Clostridia. The record is from RNAcentral.
GCGGAUAUGGCGGAAUUGGCAGACGCGCUAGAUUCAGGUUCUAGUGACUUCACGGUCAUACAGGUUCAAGUCCUGCUAUCCGCACCA